RNAcentral lists this ribosomal RNA (498 nucleotides) under uncultured bacterium. RNAcentral describes it as "partial 16S ribosomal RNA". It matches the Rfam family "Bacterial small subunit ribosomal RNA", at positions 30 to 523 of the family's 1533-position model. The record is from RNAcentral.
AUUGAACGCUGGCGGAAUGCCUAAUACAUGCAAGUCGAGGGAGAAUGUUGGAUUCGUCUGACAUGAAACCGGCGCACGGGUGCGUAACACGUAUGCAACCUACCUUUAACUGGGGUAUAGCUCAGAGAAAUCUGAAUUAAUCCCCCAUAAGACUACGACAUGGCAUCAUGAUGUAGUUAAAGCUCCGGCGGUUAAGGAUGGGCAUGCGGUACAUUAGCUAGUUGGUGAGGUAAUGGCUCACCAAGGCUACGAUGUAUAGGGGGUCUGAGAGGAUGAUCCCCCACACUGGUACUGAGACACGGACCAGACUCCUACGGGAGGCAGCAGUAGGGAAUAUUGGUCAAUGGACGCAAGUCUGAACCAGCCAUGCCGCGUGAAGGAUGAAGGCCCUAUGGGUCGUAAACUUCUUUUAUUAGGGAAGAAAAAACGGGAUGCGUCCUGUACUGACGGUACUUAAUGAAUAAGGAUCGGCUAACUUCGUGCCAGCCGCCGCGGUAA